UGGAUCCAGACUUUGAUCCUGGCUCAGGAUGAACGCUAGCUACAGGCUUAACACAUGCAAGUCGAGGGGAAACGACAUCGAAAGCUUGCUUUUGAUGGGCGUCGACCGGCGCACGGGUGAGUAACGCGUAUCCAACCUGCCCACCACUUGGGGAUAACCUUGCGAAAGUAAGACUAAUACCCAAUGAUAUCUCUAGAAGACAUCUGAAGGAGAUUAAAGAUUUAUCGGUGAUGGAUGGGGAUGCGUCUGAUUAGCUUGUUGGCGGGGUAACGGCCCACCAAGGCGACGAUCAGUAGGGGUUCUGAGAGGAAGGUCCCCCACAUUGGAACUGAGACACGGUCCAAACUCCUACGGGAGGCGGCAGUGAGGAAUAUUGGUCAAUGGGCGAGAGCCUGAACCAGCCAAGUAGCGUGCAGGAUGACAGCCCUAUGGGUUGUAAACUGCUUUUAUAAGGGAAUAAAGUGAGCCUCGUGAGGCUUUUUGCAUGUACCUUAUGAAUAAGGACCGGCUAAUUCCGUGCCAGCAGCCGCGGUAAUACGGAAGGUCCGGGCGUUAUCCGGAUUUAUUGGGUUUAAAGGGAGCGUAGGCCGGAGAUUAAGCGUGUUGUGAAAUGUAGAUGCUCAACGUCUGCACUGCAGCGCGAACUGGUUUCCUUGAGUACGCACAAAGUGGGCGGAAUUCGUGGUGUAGCGGUGAAAUGCUUAGAUAUCACGAAGAACUCCGAUUGCGAAGGCAGCUCACUGGAGCGCAACUGUCGCUGAAGCUCGAAAGUGCGGGUAUCGAACAGGAUUAGAUACCCUGGUAGUCCGCACGGUAAACGAUGGAUGCCCGCUGUUGGUCUGAAUAGGUCAGCGGCCAAGCGAAAGCAUUAAGCAUCCCACCUGGGGAGUACGCCGGCAACGGUGCAACUCAAAUGAAUUGACGGA
RNAcentral lists this ribosomal RNA (926 nucleotides) under uncultured organism. RNAcentral's name for it is "bacterial SSU rRNA". It matches the Rfam family "Bacterial small subunit ribosomal RNA", at positions 1 to 917 of the family's 1533-position model. The record is from RNAcentral.